AGGGAUGUGGCGGAAUUGGUAGACGCAGUGGACUUAAAAUCCACCGCCAUGCGUGGCUUGGGGGUUCAAGUCCCCCCAUCCCUA
RNAcentral lists this transfer RNA (84 nucleotides) under Bacillaria paxillifer. RNAcentral's name for it is "tRNA-Leu". It matches the Rfam family "tRNA". From Rfam's summary of the family: Transfer RNA (tRNA) molecules are approximately 80 nucleotides in length. The record is from RNAcentral. Lineage: Eukaryota; Bacillariophyta; Bacillariophyceae; Bacillariales; Bacillariaceae.